Molecule: RNA transcript, 312 nt
Organism: Dermacentor silvarum
Lineage: Eukaryota; Metazoa; Arthropoda; Arachnida; Ixodida; Ixodidae
Exons: 3
Source: RefSeq, a predicted model, not a curated record
AAAAAACCAUGCUGUCAUCACCUGACAGAAAAUGAGGGUCUCAAGGUGGAGAACGCAGCCCUGAAGAAGCAGCUCGAGGAGCAAAAAGAUUUAAUUGAUACUUCGAAAAUGCUUAGAAAGCUGCAGCGAGCUGUCGACAAGCUCACUUCAGCUGCCGAGGGAGCAAAGCCUGCCGAGCCUGAAGAGAACACGCACCGAAACAUUGGUGGAGGUGUGAUGGUCUCUGAAGCCACAAUGACAAGGCUGGAGGAGACAUAUAGAGAUGCUCCAUGCAAAUUUGCGAGGGCGCUAUUAAGGGUUCUCUUCAGUGAU